AUUAAGUGUAGAUUAUUGUGAUUUAGUUAUUCAACCUUUCAAAAUUUUAAUUCUAUUAUUAAAUCUUUCACUUUUUUUAUUUGAGUUAGCUAAUAACAUUUUGACUUUAAAAUUUAAAUAUGUUGUUUAUCAUUACAGAUUUAGUUGGCAUAUUAAUUUAAUACAGUUUUGAAACUAUAGUUUUAAUAAUUAGUUUACAUUUUAAAACUAAAAUAUUAUUAACCGACUCAAAUUAUACAAAUUAAAAUAUUAG
This 253-nucleotide long non-coding RNA is filed under the name Ananas comosus (pineapple). Its description in RNAcentral is "long non-coding RNA (ACOM_LNC018492)". The record is from RNAcentral. Lineage: Eukaryota; Viridiplantae; Streptophyta; Magnoliopsida; Poales; Bromeliaceae.